This 468-nucleotide ribosomal RNA is filed under the name uncultured bacterium. Its description in RNAcentral is "partial 16S ribosomal RNA". It matches the Rfam family "Bacterial small subunit ribosomal RNA", at positions 28 to 507 of the family's 1533-position model. The record is from RNAcentral.
GACGAACGCUGGCGGCGUGCUUAACACAUGCAAGUCGAACGGAAAGGUCCUGCUUUGGUGGGGUGCUCGAGUUGCGAACGGGUGAGUAACCCGUGAGUAACCUGUCCUUGACAUUGAUUUAACCUCAGGACAUUUGGGCUCAUACCGGCAAGGAUUUCUCGCCGCAUGGUGGGGGUUGGAAAGUUUCGGCGGUUGGGGAUGGACUCGCGUCCUAUCAGCUUGUUGGUGGGGUAGUGGCUUACCAAGGCUUUGACGGGUAGCCGGACUGAGCGGGUGACCGGCAACAUUGGGACUGAGAUACGGCCCAGACUCCUACGGGAGGCAGCAGUGGGGAAGAUUGCACAAUGGGCGGAAGCGUGAUGCAGAAACGCCGCGUGCGGGAUGACGGCCUUCGGGUUGUGAUCCGCAUUCGCCUGUGCCGAAGCGUGAGUGAAGGUAAUCGGUAGAGAAGCACCGGCUAACUACGUG